Molecule: ribosomal RNA, 482 nt
Filed under: uncultured bacterium
Lineage: Bacteria
Description: partial 16S ribosomal RNA
Rfam family: Bacterial small subunit ribosomal RNA
Source: RNAcentral
GAUGAACGCUAGCGGCAGGCCUAAUACAUGCAAGUCGGACGGGAUUCAGGAGCUUGCUUCUGAUGAGAGUGGCGCACGGGUGCGUAACACGUAUGUAACCUACCUUUAUCAGGGGGAUAGCCUCUCGAAAGAGAGAUUAAGCCCGCAUAAAAUCACAGCACAGCAUUGUGUAAUGAUCAAAUAUUUAUAGGAUAAAGAUGGGCAUGCGGAACAUUAGCUAGAUGGCGGGGUAACGGCCCACCAUGGCGACGAUGUUUAGGGGAUCUGAGAGGAUGGCCCCCCACACUGGUACUGCGACACGGACCAGACUCCUACGGGAGGCAGCAGUAAGGACUAUUGGUCAAUGGGCGGAAGCCUGAACCAGCCAUGCCGCGUGAAGGAAGACGGCCCUACGGGUUGUAAACUGCUUUUAUACGGGAAUAAACCCAGAUACGUGUAUCUGGCUGAAUGUACUGUAAGAAUAAGGAUCGGCUAACUCCGUG